GUGCUUCAGCAGCACAUAUACUAAAAUUGGAAUGGUGCAGAGAGAUUAGCAUGAUCUCUGUGCAAGGAUGACAUGCAAAUUCUUGAAGUGUUGUGUAUUUUU
This 102-nucleotide small nuclear RNA is filed under the name Dasypus novemcinctus (nine-banded armadillo). Lineage: Eukaryota; Metazoa; Chordata; Mammalia; Cingulata; Dasypodidae. The record is from RNAcentral.